GUACGCAGCUAUAUCGCCCUGCAGCUCUCGGCUAGCUACCCACUAAAGCUAAGCACGGUUGAGCCCGGUCAGUACCUGGAUGAGAGACCUCCUGGGAAGCUAUGGUUUCUGCUGGAA
This 117-nucleotide ribosomal RNA is filed under the name Lepisosteus oculatus (spotted gar). Lineage: Eukaryota; Metazoa; Chordata; Actinopteri; Semionotiformes; Lepisosteidae. The record is from RNAcentral.